AGAGUGGCAGCCUCCUCACCCAAUCAUAGAUGAGCGACUGGAGAUCUGCACAGCCCCCGGAGAUAAUUGGAACCAAGAGGUGGGACCAGGAGAUGAGUUAAAAAAUACCGCAAACAUUUAAAAAAGGUUCCAGCAUCCUAUGGGUUCUCCUCCUGAGAUUCUUCAGUGGAUCUGGCAACUUCAAAGUUGUCCUCCCAAGACUCCUAGAUGGAACUGGUGGCAUGUGGACAGUCUGCUAGAACUCUUGUGUUCAUCCGGAGACAUCCCUUUGAGAGAGGUGUACUGUCAUGGUGUGAAAUACUUUAUGUUCAUGUUAUGGAUCAACUCCAUUUUUUUUUAAAUCUAUUUUUGUUUUGUUGAUUCGGGCUCUAAUUGAGCUGGAGUUUUUGUCUACCUUUUGGUAAUCUGGUUUCUGUUGUGCAAUUUUUUCUGUUUACUUCCUGUUUUUCUGUCACACCUGUCACUGCUAGUUCCCACUUGUGUGUUUGGUCAUGCUGUUUAGUUGUUCAAGCCACCUGGUCCCUAUUCAGUAAUCACUCCUCCCUAUGUAUAUAACUUCCAGGUCUUUUUAUUAUCUUGUCAGAUUGGCCUCUUUUUCUUCAUUCUCUAUGCCAGCUUGUCUCUUGUUUGUCUUCUAGUUGUUUCCUGUUAGUCUAUUUGUAAAUCUUGUGAUUUUCAGUUCAAUAAAAGUCAGUAUUUAUUUCA
This is a long non-coding RNA of Girardinichthys multiradiatus, 705 nucleotides long. RefSeq lists it as uncharacterized. The record is from RefSeq and is a predicted model, not a curated record. The transcript has 2 exons. NCBI's taxonomy places the organism in Eukaryota, Metazoa, Chordata, Actinopteri, Cyprinodontiformes, Goodeidae.